RNAcentral lists this unclassified non-coding RNA (305 nucleotides) under Myxococcus sp. 509. RNAcentral describes it as "partial RNAseP RNA". It matches the Rfam family "Bacterial RNase P class A", at positions 60 to 320 of the family's 367-position model. Rfam says of the family: Ribonuclease P (RNase P) is a ubiquitous endoribonuclease, found in archaea, bacteria and eukarya as well as chloroplasts and mitochondria. Its best characterised activity is the generation of mature 5'-ends of tRNAs by cleaving the 5'-leader elements of precursor-tRNAs. Cellular RNase Ps are ribonucleoproteins. The record is from RNAcentral. Lineage: Bacteria; Pseudomonadati; Myxococcota; Myxococcia; Myxococcales; Myxococcaceae.
CAGAGGGCAGGGUGCUGGCUAACGGCCAGUCGAGGCGACUCGCAGGAAAGUGCCACAGAAAACAAACCGCCCGUUCCGCAAGGGGCGGGUAAGGGUGAAACGGUGCGGUAAGAGCGCACCGCGUCCGGGGUGACUCGGACGGCACGGUAAACCCCACCUGGAGCAAGAGCCAAUAGGAGCGCGUCCCUCGCAGUCCGGGGGGACAGGGAUGGCCCGUCCCAGGCGUUCGGGUUGCUCGCUGAUGAGGUCCCUGGGCAACCAGGGCCCUAGAUGAAUGUUCGCCGCCCGCCUCGAAAGGGGUGGGA